GGAGGUAGUGACAAUAAAUAACAAUGCCGGGCCUUUCUAGGUCUGGCAAUUGGAAUGAGAACAAUUUAAAUCCCUUAUCGAGGAUCAAUUGGAGGGCAAGUCUGGUGCCAGCAGCCGCGGUAAUUCCAGCUCCAAUAGCGUAUAUUAAAGUUGUUGCGGUUAAAAAGCUCGUAGUUGGAUUUCUGCUGAGGAUGACCGGUCCGCCCUGUGGGUGUGCAUCUGGCUCAGCCUUGGCAUCUUCCUGAAGAACGUAGCUGCACUUGACUGUGUGGUGCGGUAUUUAGGACAUUUACUUUGAGGAAAUUAGAGUGUUUCAAGCAAGCGCACGCUUUGAAUACAUUAGCAUGGAAUAAUAAGAUAGGACCUCGGUUCUAUUUUGUUGGUUUCUAGAGCUGAGGUAAUGAUUGAUAGGGAUAGUUGGGGGCAUUCGUAUUUAACUGUCAGAGGUGAAAUUCCUGGAUUUGUUAAAGACGGACUACUGCGAAAGCAUUUGCCAAGGAUGUUUUCAUUGAUCAAGAACGAAAGUUAGGGGAUCGGAGACGAUCAGAUACCGUCCUAGUCUUAACCAUAAACUAUGCCGACUAGAGAUUGGAGGUCGUUACUUUUACGACUCCUUCAGCACCUUAUGAGAAAUCAAAGUCUUUGGGUUCCGGGGGGAGUAUGGUCGCAAGGCUGAAAUCCAUAUGACUA
Molecule: ribosomal RNA, 690 nt
Filed under: uncultured dinoflagellate
Lineage: Eukaryota; Dinophyceae
Description: SSU rRNA
Rfam family: Eukaryotic small subunit ribosomal RNA
Source: RNAcentral